AGUCUAGCACAUGCCUGCUGACCUUCGUGGAGCCUGACCAGUGGGGGAAGUGUGAAGGAGACAGACAGGAUUCAGGCUUCUUGGGGCAGGUGUUUCUUCCAUGAGAGAUACGUGGGGAUGAAUUGCUGGGGAAUCCUUUCCAGUUUCCAGGAUAUCUCUUCUUAUAUAUGGGGCUGUAGUCAUCAGAAAAAAAAAACGUACAGGCCCUCUGCAGCCACCCAUGGAAACAGAAGAGAUUGCAUGCAGAGAUAGAGACACCAAGCUUUCGAAUGGACUUGGGAUGCAGCAGACCGGAAACCCAGCCACAGGAGCAGCAGGUACAGAGAUGAGAAGGACCAGGG
This 341-nucleotide long non-coding RNA is filed under the name Mus spretus (western wild mouse). RNAcentral describes it as "lncRNA (ENSMSPG00010012489.1)". Lineage: Eukaryota; Metazoa; Chordata; Mammalia; Rodentia; Muridae. The record is from RNAcentral.